This 420-nucleotide ribosomal RNA is filed under the name uncultured bacterium. Its description in RNAcentral is "partial 16S ribosomal RNA". It matches the Rfam family "Bacterial small subunit ribosomal RNA", at positions 362 to 774 of the family's 1533-position model. The record is from RNAcentral.
UAUUGGACAAUGGGGGCAACCCUGAUCCAGCCAUGCCGCAUGUGUGAAGUAGGUCUUUGGAUUGUAAAGCACUUUAAGUUGGGAGGAAGGGCUUUAGGUUAAUACCCUGAAGUUUUGACGUUACCAACAGUAUAAGCACCGGCUAACUCUGUGCACGCCGCCGCUGUAAUACAGAGUGUGCAAGCGUUAAUCGGAAUUACUGGGCGUAAAGCGCGCGUAGGUGGUUCAGUAAGAUGGGUGUGAAAUCCCCGGGCUUAACCUGGGAACUGCUUUCAUAACUGCUGAGCUAGAGUACGGUAGAGGGUAGUGGAAUUUCCUGUGUAGCGGUGAAAUGCGUAGAUAUAGGAAGGAACACCAGUGGCGAAGGCGACUACCUGGACUGAUACUGACACUGAGGUGCGAAAGCGUGGGGAGCAAACA